AUGAUUGAUUCUGACCCAGUUCCUGCAGCUCCAGCUCCCGUGCAAGUUGAAGCAGAUGCAGAAAAUGUACAAGAUGAUGUACAUGAUGGUGCAGGUGAAGAAGAUGCUCCCCAGCAGCAGCAACAAGAGUAUAGCGCUGAAGUUGAUGAUCCGGAUCAGCAGGAAGCACCGGCACCAGAAAGUCCACCAGCUGCUCCACUCAGAAGAUCCAACAGGGGUCGAAUUCCUUCCAGCAGGUAUCCCUCAGAUCAAUACGUGGUGUUAUUAUCUGAUGGUUCAGAACCUGAAUGCUUUGCAGAUGCAAUGGAAGAUGAGCACAAGAAGGAGUGGAAAAAUGCUAUGCACGAAGAGAUGGAUUCCUUGCAUAAGAAUCAUACUUAUGAGUUGGUGACGUUGCUCAAGGGCAAGAAAAUUUUGAAGAACAAGUGGGUCUACAGAAUCAAGCAAGAAGAGCACACAUCACAUCCAAGGUACAAGGACAGGCUAGUUGUAAAAGGAUUCAACCAGAGAAAAGGCAUUGACUAUGAUGAGAUAUUUUCUCCGAUUGUGAAGAUAACAUCCAUAAGAGUAAUCCUUGGCAUGGCAACAAGUCUCAACUUGGAGGUUGAGCAAAAGGAUGUGACGACUGCAUUUCUUCAUGGUGAGUUGGAGGAAGAAAUAUACAUGGAGCAACCUGAGGGGUUUCUUGUGAAAGGCAAAGAAGACUAUGUGUGCAAGCUGAAGAAAAGUCUCUAUGGCCUGAAACAAGCACCAAGACAAUGGUACAUGAAGUUUGAAGCUGUCAUGGGGGAGCAAAGAUACAAGAAGUGUAGCUCAGACCAUUGUGUGUUUAUUCAGAGGUUCUCAGGUGAUGAUUUCAUCAUAUUAUUGUUCUAUGUUGAUGAUAUCCUGAUUGUUGGCAAGAAUGCCUCUAGGAUUGCUAAGUUGAAGGAGUUGAGCAAAUGUUUUUCUAUGAAAGACUUAGGUCCAGCAAAGAACAUUCUCGAGAUGAGAAUUGAGCGAGACAGAAAUUGCAACAAGUUGUACUUGUCUCAAGAAAAGUAUAUUGAGAAGGUACUUCAGAAGUUUAGGAUGGAAAAUGCUAAAGUUGUGAGUUGUCCACUAGCAGUCCAUUUCAAGUUGAGCAGAAAGCAAUGUCCUACCACUGAUGAGAAGAAAAAGGAAAUGCAUAAUGUUCCUUAUGCUUCGGCGGUAGGGAGUUUGAUGUAUGCUAUGGUAUGUACAAGGCCUGAUAUUGCUCAUGCAAUUAGUACUGUGAGCAGAUUUAUGUCCAAUCCAGAAAGACCUCAUUAG
This 1293-nucleotide ribosomal RNA is filed under the name Triticum aestivum (bread wheat). Its description in RNAcentral is "partial small subunit ribosomal RNA". Lineage: Eukaryota; Viridiplantae; Streptophyta; Magnoliopsida; Poales; Poaceae. The record is from RNAcentral.